This 513-nucleotide ribosomal RNA is filed under the name uncultured bacterium. RNAcentral describes it as "bacterial SSU rRNA". It matches the Rfam family "Bacterial small subunit ribosomal RNA", at positions 32 to 518 of the family's 1533-position model. The record is from RNAcentral.
AACGCUGGCGGCGUGCCUAAUACAUGCAAGUCGAACGGUCUUUCUAUGGAAGCUUGCUUCCACUGAGAAGAUAGUGGCGAACGGGUGAGUAACACGUGGGUAACCUGCCCAUAAGAGGGGGAUAACAUCCGGAAACGGGUGCUAAUACCGCAUAGUUUUCUUGAUUGCAUGAUUGAGAAGGAAAGACGGCCUUUGUGCUGUCGCUUAUGGAUGGACCCGCGGCGUAUUAGUUAGUUGGUGAGGUAACGGCUCACCAAGACGAUGAUACGUAGCCGACCUGAGAGGGUGAUCGGCCACAUUGGGACUGAGACACGGCCCAAACUCCUACGGGAGGCAGCAGUAGGGAAUCUUCCGCAAUGGGCGAAAGUCUGACGGAGCAACGCCGCGUGAGUGAAGAAAAGGUUUUCGGAUCGUAAAACUCUGUUGUCAGAGAAGAACAAGUUGGAGAGUAACUGCUCCAGCCUUGACGGUAUCUGACCAGAAAGCCACGGCUAACUACGUGCCAGCCGCUGC